Molecule: ribosomal RNA, 569 nt
Filed under: uncultured bacterium
Lineage: Bacteria
Description: bacterial SSU rRNA
Rfam family: Bacterial small subunit ribosomal RNA
Source: RNAcentral
AGAGUUUGAUCAUGGCUCAGGAUGAACGCUAGCUACAGGCUUAACACAUGCAAGUCGAGGGGCAGCAUCAUCAAAGCUUGCUUUGAUGGAUGGCGACCGGCGCACGGGUGAGUAACACGUAUCCAACCUGCCGACAACACUGGGAUAGCCUUUCGAAAGAAAGAUUAAUACCGGAUGGCAUAGUUUUCCCGCAUGGGAUAAUUAUUAAAGAAUUUCGGUUGUCGAUGGGGAUGCGUUCCAUUAGGCAGUUGGCGGGGUAACGGCCCACCAAACCUACGAUGGAUAGGGGUUCUGAGAGGAAGGUCCCCCACAUUGGAACUGAGACACGGUCCAAACCCCUACGGGAGGCAGCAGUGAGGAAUAUUGGUCAAUGGACGAGAGUCUGAACCAGCCAAGUAGCGUGAAGGAUGACUGCCCUAUGGGUUGUAAACUUCUUUUAUACGGGAAUAAAGUGAGCCACGUGUGGCUUUUUGUAUGUACCGUAUGAAUAAGGAUCGGCUAACUCCGUGCCAGCAGCCGCGGUAAUACGGAGGAUUCGAGCGUUAUCCGGAUUUAUUGGGUUUAAAGGG